GGACCCGACUGCUAUCAGAGUGGGAAUAAGCCAUGCGAGUCAACAUAGCAAUAUGUGGCAUACGGCUCAGUAACACGUAGUCAACAUGCCCAGGGGACGUGGAUAACCUCGGGAAACUGAGGAUAAACCGCGAUAGGUCAUCACUUUUGGAAUGGGUAAUGACUUAAAUCUAUAUGGCCCCUGGAUUGGACUGCGGCCGAUCAGGCUGUUGGUGAGGUAAUGGCCCACCAAACCUGUAACCGGUACGGGCUUUGAGAGGAGGAGCCCGGAGAUGGGCACUGAGACAAGGGCCCAGGCCCUAUGGGGCGCAGCAGGCGCGAAACCUUUGCAAUAGGCGAAAGCUUGACAGGGUUACUUUGAGUGAUUUCCGUUAAGGAGAUCUUUUGGCACCUCUAAAAAUGGUGCAGAAUAAGGGGUGGGCAAGUUUGGUGU
Molecule: ribosomal RNA, 432 nt
Filed under: uncultured archaeon
Lineage: Archaea
Description: bacterial SSU rRNA
Rfam family: Archaeal small subunit ribosomal RNA
Source: RNAcentral